Molecule: ribosomal RNA, 253 nt
Filed under: uncultured bacterium
Lineage: Bacteria
Description: partial 16S ribosomal RNA
Rfam family: Bacterial small subunit ribosomal RNA
Source: RNAcentral
UACGGAGGGGGCGAGCGUUGUCCGAAGUUACUGGGCGUAAAGCGCGCGUAGGCGGGUUGGGAAGUCCGCUGUGAAAGCCCGGAGCUUAACUCCGGAGGGUCGGUGGAUACUGCCAGUCUUGAAGGUGCUAGGGGGAGAUGGAAUUACCGGUGUAGCGGUGAAAUGCGUAGAUAUCGGUAGGAACACCAGUGGCGAAGGCGGUCUCCUGGGGCAUUCUUGACGCUGAGGCGCGAAAGCUGGGGGAGCAAACGGG